GAAAUAGAAAAUUUUAGGGAGAAGCACAAGGAAGAUGAGCCACUUCAGCAGCUGCAGCAAUCUCAUGAUGAAGUUCAUUUCCAUCUUCAUCAUCUUGCUUCAUUUGUCAAUGGCUAAUGGAUACAAGAAUAUUAUUAAACCAAAUUACGAGUUGUUCAGCAGAAAGGAACUCGCGAGAUUGGCUGGUUAUGGAGAGGAUAAGCUUUCUACUGUUCUAAUCACAGGAACUGUUCUUUGCAAGGCUUGUUUGCAUGGCGAAACUCUGCUUCGAACAUGGCCAGUUUCAGGUGCUUUGG
Molecule: unclassified non-coding RNA, 296 nt
Filed under: Hevea brasiliensis (rubber tree)
Lineage: Eukaryota; Viridiplantae; Streptophyta; Magnoliopsida; Malpighiales; Euphorbiaceae
Source: RNAcentral